GCCACACCAUAUAAGCUUAAUAAUGCUAAUAUACCUCGUAUAGAAUUACUUCCACAUAUAAUUGAACAAAAUAAUUAUACAAACCUCUGUCUUCAUACCCUUGGAAAACAAUCUAAUAGAAUAGAAAAUUUAUUACAACCGCCCAGUCAUAAAGAGAAAAAACAAUUAUUUUUCAAACCACCUCCUGAUUUGAAUAAAGAAAAAUUUCUUAUAGGAGAAGAUAAUACAACCCUUAUGGGACAACUAAUUUCUAAAUUAUCUAAAUUAGAAAUAAAAGAA
This 279-nucleotide long non-coding RNA is filed under the name Amborella trichopoda. Its description in RNAcentral is "long non-coding RNA (ATRI_LNC000775)". The record is from RNAcentral. Lineage: Eukaryota; Viridiplantae; Streptophyta; Magnoliopsida; Amborellales; Amborellaceae.